UCAUCUGUGAAGAGGGGUGGCCCAGAAAAUUUGUACUCGUUUAAUAAGAAACAAUGUAGAUGGAGUUGCAUCUACUUCACUUGUCUGGUUUUUAUUUACCCUUCCUCCCCUCUUUGGAAAAGCAUCACAGAGCAAAACAGCCCAGAAGGGAAACUAGCCUGAUAAAUAGACCAUCAAGAGGAAUAAUUAGUCUAGAUAGGAAAAUUAAAUGGGGGAGCCACUAAUCAGCUGCUCUCUCUGCAAGGAGGAGGCUGGGAAAGUAAUUUAAAAAACCUUUUGGAGGAGACUCUGAGGCAGAGCGUAAAGUAAAAAUACAGAUGGCCAGAAAUUAGAGCAAGUCUGUGUGCGCAGGAACAGGUGGAAUUGGUUAGAGGCAGAGCUCCCUCCCACCCUGCUUACCCCCUCCAAUUCUUCUCAUGACUUUACCUUCUGCUUGGCAGCACUGUGAGCUGGGAAGGAAAAAAAUAUCUCCCUCCGAGCUGGUGAAGUCGUCUCCAGCUGGGAGACUGCACUGCUAGCAGCCCUGCUCGGUUCCCAGGGGCUGCACACAAAGCCCCCAGCACCAGCAGCUUGAUCCUAAUUCAACUCACUCUGUGCUGGCCUCACAAGUAGAGGGAACAUGAAGCUUUGCUAAGAUCAGCCUGAGUCCUUGCACCACCAAAGCCUGAGGGAGCAGAGCACAGCUUCGCUUCUCUCCACAUCAGACUCCUUUCUGCUCCAGGACCCCACUGCUCCUUCCAUGCCUGCAACAAGAAGCUGCAGGAUCUCCUUGAGAUCACCCUGAUGACCACCGUCGUGGCACCUGGUCGACCUGCAAGGACCACUGCCUUACCUAUCAGGGCUACAAGCCAGCAGGUCCGCCACGGUGCUAACAAUUCGGAGACUGUGUCACUGUCAGAAACAGUGGAAGUCCUGAAGGGAAAUUGGGAUAGACAAGGCUUUGGAACACAAAUAAAAAUUUUCACCCCAAGGAAGUUUGGAUCUUCAGCUUCCAUUCAGUUUGGGAAACUCUAGCUGACUGAAGCCCAGGGCUAAGCAAACUCAUGUCUCCCAGAAUGGAAUCCAUUACUGAGCUGGAAUGCCUCUAAUUAUACUAACACUAAUAACGUUAGCUACUAAAAUAGCUCAGAAAAGGAUAAGUUACAAACGUGGUUUUCAGUCUGUGGGUUUCAAAUGCAUGGGGAUUGCCAGGAGGGGUUGAGAGCAGGGACACAACCUACUUUCUUUCAUUUCACUCCCAUCUAGUAAGCUCACCCAACGCUUUCAGAU
Molecule: non-coding RNA, 1269 nt
Organism: Anas platyrhynchos (mallard)
Lineage: Eukaryota; Metazoa; Chordata; Aves; Anseriformes; Anatidae
Source: RefSeq, a predicted model, not a curated record